GACGAACGCUGGCGGCGUGCUUAACACAUGCAAGUCGUACGGUAAGGCCCUUUCGGGGGUACUCGGGUGGCGAACGGGUGAGUAACACGUUAGUAAACUUCCCACAACUUUGGGAUAACGCUAGGAAACUGGUGCUAAUACUGGAUAUGUGCUCCUGCUGCAUGGUGGGGGUUGGAAAGCUCCGGCGGUUGUGGAUGGGCUCGCGGCCUAUUAGCCUGUUGGUGGGGUAGUGGCCUCCCAAAGCGGCGACGGGUUGCCGGCCUGAGAGGGUGACCGGCCACAUUGGGACUGAGGAACGGCCCAGACUCCUACUGGAGGCAGCAGUAGGGAAUAUUGCAGAAUGGGCGCGAGACUGAUGCAGCAGCGCCUCGGGGGGGAUGACGGCCGUCGGGUUGUAAACCGCUUUCAGCAGGGACGAAGCUUUUUGUGACGGUACCUGCAGAAGAAGCACCGGCUAACUACGUG
Molecule: ribosomal RNA, 465 nt
Filed under: uncultured bacterium
Lineage: Bacteria
Description: partial 16S ribosomal RNA
Rfam family: Bacterial small subunit ribosomal RNA
Source: RNAcentral